This 376-nucleotide ribosomal RNA is filed under the name uncultured Serratia sp. RNAcentral's name for it is "bacterial SSU rRNA". It matches the Rfam family "Bacterial small subunit ribosomal RNA", at positions 521 to 896 of the family's 1533-position model. Lineage: Bacteria; Pseudomonadati; Pseudomonadota; Gammaproteobacteria; Enterobacterales; Yersiniaceae. The record is from RNAcentral.
UAAUACGAAGGGUGCAAGCGUUAAUCGGAAUUACUGGGCGUAAAGCGCACGCAGGCGGUUUGUUAAGUCAGAUGUGAAAUCCCCGGGCUCAACCUGGGAACUGCAUUUGAAACUGGCAAGCUAGAGUCUCGUAGAGGGGGGUAGAAUUCCAGGUGUAGCGGUGAAAUGCGUAGAGAUCUGGAGGAAUACCGGUGGCGAAGGCGGCCCCCUGGACGAAGACUGACGCUCAGGUGCGAAAGCGUGGGGAGCAAACAGGAUUAGAUACCCUGGUAGUCCACGCUGUAAACGAUGUCGAUUUGGAGGUUGUGCCCUUGAGGCGUGGCUUCCGGAGCUAACGCAUUAAGCUUCCCGCCUGGGGAGUACGGUCGCAAGAUUA